Molecule: transfer RNA, 68 nt
Filed under: Pericapritermes sp. 2 TB-2017
Lineage: Eukaryota; Metazoa; Arthropoda; Insecta; Blattodea; Termitidae
Description: tRNA-Phe
Source: RNAcentral
ACUUAAAUAGCUUAAUGUUUAGAGCACGACACUGAAGAUGUUGAUGAGGCGUUUACUGCCUUUGAGUA